RNAcentral lists this ribosomal RNA (525 nucleotides) under uncultured bacterium. RNAcentral's name for it is "bacterial SSU rRNA". It matches the Rfam family "Bacterial small subunit ribosomal RNA", at positions 355 to 896 of the family's 1533-position model. The record is from RNAcentral.
UGGGGAAUAUUGGACAAUGGGGGCAACCCUGAUCCAGCAAUUCUGUGUGCACGAUGAAGGUUUUCGGAUUGUAAAGUGCUUUCAGCAGGGAAGAAAAAAAUGACGGUACCUGCAGAAGAAGCGACGGCUAAAUACGUGCCAGCAGCCGCGGUAAUACGUAUGUCGCAAGCGUUAUCCGGAAUUAUUGGGCAUAAAGGGCAUCUAGGCGGCCAGAUAAGUCUGGGGUGAAAACUUGCGGCUCAACCGCAAGCCUGCCCUGGAAACUAUGUGGCUAGAGUACUGGAGAGGUGGACGGAACUGCACGAGUAGAGGUGAAAUUCGUAGAUAUGUGCAGGAAUGCCGAUGAUGAAGAUAGUUCACUGGACGGUAACUGACGCUGAAGUGCGAAAGCUGGGGGAGCAAACAGGAUUAGAUACCCUGGUAGUCCUAGCUGUAAACGAUGAUUACUGGGUGUGGGCAUGAAGAGUGUCCGUGCCGAAGCUAAUGCGAUAAGUAAUCCGCCUGGGGAGUACGGCCGCAAGGCUG